UCCUUCUCCAGCUCAUUUUACAGAUGAGGAAAUCAAGGCAAAUAGAUUUAAGGGACUUAUUACUUUUCAGUCUGCUCCUAAGGAUGUGAAACUGGGUUUGACCUCAGGCUUUCCGGAUGACAGGCUCCAUAUUCUAUCCCUUGAGUCACUUUUGAGUUUUACUACUGGGAAAAUUGAGGGCCAGAGCAGGGAAUUAAUUCACCAACUACCAUCAGGAGUCCAAUGAAUACUCUGACCUCUGUGCACAUGAGCUCCUAGCUAAGUUCAGAAUUUCCCAUUCUGUUCUAUCUUUCUGUCUCAGGCCUGCUGGUUCUGGCUCACAACCUCCCUUCUGUAAACACCGGAGCAUAUCUCAGGGCUUACAUUCCUCCACUGUGGCAGCCUCUAAACACAUAUCUGCUUCCUCCACACGCCACGUAUCUUAUGGGCCUCUUUUUAGUGGACAAAGAUUGAAGGGAGGGCCAAAUACUCAGCCUUCACCCCCUGAAAAACUCUUGCCCAAGUCUGUGGAGAAUGAAUCACAUGCAAGUCAUUGAGUCAAACAGACCCAGACUUGUAGAUGAGACACAUAGACAGGCACAGUGGCUAAAACACUGGAUGUGAAGAAUCGGAAUUCAAAAAGAUCUGGUUGGCUAGAGGAUACUGUGAAAUGGAAGAAGAUGUAAAAAGGAUAGCUAAAAUAGCUUACAUUUGGAUUAAAAAAAAAAAAAAAAAAGGAAUGGGAGAGAGUUCGUCUUAGACAGCCAUGGAUAUCUCUCUCAUUUAACAUCUCCAGGGAAAAACUGAAUGACUCCAAAGCUAGAAGAUUUAGGACUACUGACUUAUUAUUAGAACAGAAGUCCCUCAAGGUUAGGGGACCACAAAAUCAUAUUACAUCAAUUCCAUGGGGGAUAUGUUGUACAGACCAAUGCGCUCAUUUAGGUACAGAUUGAAUAAGGCAGCCACUGAAGUCCUUUCCAACUCCAAAAUUUUGUGAUUCUGCCUGCAGACAGGACACCUCCAGCUAAUGUUCAAAUGCAAAACAUUCUUUUCCUACUCAAAUUUUCCUACUGCUUUUUGGUUCUAUUUUGUGUCCAUUAUAGCCUAAUUUAGAUUUUUCCAUACUCAGAGGGAUCUAUCAUCUCACUAACUUGACACAGAUUCCAAUCUCGCCAAUGACAUAGAUUCCAGUCCCACCCUUUUAGUAAGUCUCUAAUCCAUGGAGAAGCUUUAAUAAACUUUGCUCUUCUUGGCAAUACAAUGAUCUAAGACAAUUCCAAAAAAUUCAUAUCCCAUACUUAUCCAUACUCAGAAAAAGAGCUAUGGAAUCUGAAUGCAGCUCUCUCAUGAGUUUUCCCUUUUGUUUUGAUUCUUCUUUUACAACAUGACCAAUGUGGAAAUCUGUUUAAUAUGAUUUUACAUAUAUAACAUUAUCAGAUUUAAUUGCCAUCUUGGGAAGGGAGAAGAGAGGGAAAAAAUAGAAACCAAAAUAUUAUAAAAGUGAAUGUUAAAAACCAAUAAAUAAAUUGAAAUAAAACAGG
Molecule: long non-coding RNA, 1520 nt
Filed under: Sarcophilus harrisii (Tasmanian devil)
Lineage: Eukaryota; Metazoa; Chordata; Mammalia; Dasyuromorphia; Dasyuridae
Description: lncRNA (ENSSHAG00000032022.1)
Source: RNAcentral